UCCAAGGCUGCAGAUAUCAGUGAGAAGC
Molecule: non-coding RNA, 28 nt
Filed under: Rattus norvegicus (Norway rat)
Lineage: Eukaryota; Metazoa; Chordata; Mammalia; Rodentia; Muridae
Source: RNAcentral